RNAcentral lists this ribosomal RNA (1722 nucleotides) under Enterocystis dorypterygis. RNAcentral describes it as "SSU rRNA". It matches the Rfam family "Eukaryotic small subunit ribosomal RNA". The record is from RNAcentral. Lineage: Eukaryota; Apicomplexa; Conoidasida; Eugregarinorida; Enterocystidae.
CACUGUGGAAUUCGCCCUUGCGCUACCUGGUUGAUCCUGCCAGUAGUCAUAUGCUUGUUUUAAAGAUUAAGCCAUGCAUGUCUAAGUUAGAAGCAACUUACGCUAAAACUGCGAAUAGCUCAUUAAAACAAUUUCAAUCUGGACGAUAAUGAUAUACGGAUAUCUCCGGUAAUUCUGGGGCUAAGACGCGUUAUAAGUGAGAUCCUCCUGGAUCAUUCUUGUCAUAGGAAAGGAUAUCUAUUCACCUGAACUUUUUGACAAAUCAGUCGCCGAAAGGCGAUGUGACGUGCGAUAUUUUGACCUAUCAGCUAUCGUUAGAAGGGUAGUGUCCUUUUAAGGCUGUGACGGGUAACGGGGAAUUAGGGUUUGAUUCCGGAGAGGGAGCCUUAGAGACAGCUACCACAUCUAAGGAUGGCAGCAGGCGCGCAAAUUACCCAAUCCCGAUACGGGGAGGUAGUGACAGAAAAUAUCAACACUUGAUUUUCAAGUGAUUGAAAUGAGUGGACAUUAGAAAAAUGUGCGAGUAUCAAUUGGAGGGCAAGUCUGGUGCCAGCAGCCGCGGUAAUUCCAGCUCCAAUAGCACAUACUAAUAUUGUUGCAGUUGAAGCGUUCGUAGUUUGAUGUGCAACUUCUCACACGAGACUAGUCGUCACGGGUGAGAUGUUGAGGCCUACACGGCAUCAGUUACUUUGAGAAAAUUGUUUUGUUCACCUUUGGGUUGAGCCGAAGCACAGCAGCAUGGAAUAACGACAAAUAACAGUCGACAAAUAAGAAUAUCCUCUUGUCGACAGUGAUGAUGGAAAGGGGCGUACGGGGACAUUCGUACUUGCUAGAGAGAGGUGAAAUUCUGAGACCUGGCAAAGACGAGCAAAUGCAAAAGCAUCUGUCCAGUGCUCACCUGUUGAUCAAGGACGAAAGUUGGGGGAUCGAAGACGAUUAGAUACCGUCGUAGUCCCAACCAUAAACUAUGCCGACUAAACAUUGGCGUCACGAAAGGAGUGACUUCAGUGUUCAACGAGAAAUCUAAAGUAUCUGGGCCCUGGGGGGAGUAUGGUCGCAGGGCUGAAACUUAAAGGAAUUGACGGAAGGGCACCACCAGGAGUGGAGCCUGCGGCUUAAUUUGAGUCAACACGGGAAAACUCACCAGGACCGGACAUAAGCAUGAUUGACAGAAUGAAAGGGCUUUCUUGAUUUUAUGGGUGGUGGUGCAUGGCCGUUCUUAGUCGGUGAGGUGACUUGUCUGGUUAAUUCCGUUAACGGACGAGACCUUGACCUGCUUGUUUGUAUUCGAGAUCUUCUCGGAAUACAUGUAGAGGGACUACAGAAGUCUAUUCUGUGGAAGUUCGAGGCUAUAACAGGUCUGUGAUGCCCUUAGAUGCUCUGGGCUGCACGUGUGCUACAAUAGUGGAAUCUUUGAGACACGACCUCACGAGAGGGAGUAUAUCUCGAAAAUCUGCUGUGUCUGGGAUUGACCAUUGCAAUUUUGGGUCAUGAACGUGGAAUUCCUAGUAAAGAUGAAUCAUUACUUCAUCUUGAUUACGUCCCUGCCCUCUGUACACACCGCCCGUCGCUUCAACCGAUUGAAUGAUCCGGCGAAUUCCAUGGACGUGACAAAUGGAUUAUUGUCCUGCUGUCCUGAAAAUGGCGCGAGCCUUGUCAUUUAGAGGAUGAAGAAGUCGUAACACGGUAUCCGUAGGUGAACCUGCAGAAGGAUCAAGGGCG